GACGAACGCUGGCGGCGUGCCUAAUACAUGCAAGUCGAGCGAAUCAAUAGGAGCUUGCUCCUGUUGAUUAGCGGCGGACGGGUGAGUAACACGUGGGCAACCUGCCUGUAAGACUGGGAUAACUUCGGGAAACCGGAGCUAAUACCGGAUAAUCCUUUUCCUCUCAUGAGGAAAAGCUGAAAGUCGGUUUCGGCUGACACUUACAGAUGGGCCCGCGGCGCAUUAGCUAGUCGGUGAGGUAACGGCUCACAAAGGCGACGAUGCGUAGCCGACCUGAGAGGGUGAUCGGCCACACUGGGACUGAGACACGGCCCAGACUCCUACGGGAGGCAGCAGUAGGGAAUCUUCCGCAAUGGACGAAAGUCUGACGGAGCAACGCCGCGUGAGCGAUGAAGGCCUUCGGGUCGUAAAGCUCUGUUGUUAGGGAAGAACAAGUAUCGGAGUAACUGCCGGUACCUUGACGGUACCUAACCAGAAAGCCACGGCUAACUACGUGCCAGCCGCCGCGGUAA
This 512-nucleotide ribosomal RNA is filed under the name uncultured bacterium. RNAcentral describes it as "partial 16S ribosomal RNA". It matches the Rfam family "Bacterial small subunit ribosomal RNA", at positions 28 to 523 of the family's 1533-position model. The record is from RNAcentral.